GUAGCUGGGGAAUGUGGGGAAGCAGAUGGACUAUUUUUUGAGCACCAUUACUGUAUCUGCCAAGGCUGAUACAAGCAGUUAAUCCUCUGGUCUAUUUCUUUUAAAGGAGAGUUGAGAAUUAGCUUUUCUGUUUUUUCCACCCCUCCCCUUCUCUCUACACACCUACAAGGUGUCUGCUGUGGGGCAGCUACUGUAGCAGGCAUGAGGACUACAGAGAGAAAAAUAAGUACUCUAUGCGCUGAAAAUGCUUAGAGUCCCAGCCAGGGACACACCCAAAGAGGAGCAGCUUUAGUUCAAAGCAUGUGGAUGCCGGGUUUCGGGGUUAGCCGAGUUUCCUAGCACCUCCCCAAGGGACUCGCUCUCCUUCACACAAUGGUUUUGCAAGGUCCUGCCCCAGGGCUCUGCCGGGCUCAGCUUUGAAAGAAAAUGCCAUUCAGCAUCACCAAUCUAUGCCCCUUGGCCUGAGCAACCGUGCAAGGACUGACCUACAAAAUCCUAAAUGUUACUAGUUGCCAGUUCUGACUGUAAAGUCUCAGACUUACCCACCUGCCCUUUCUGAGAGUUCUUGAUUGGAGACGAUCUGGGGGAUCAUAUCCAGAUGACAGCCAGCAUGUCUCUGAUAUUGACAGAUGUAUUAAAUCUGUUUCUCCCUUACAAUGGUAAAUUCCAUUUUCCUGGGCACAUUUUGUACGUUUAUCCUGCCUAACUUGGGUUCUCAUCCUUAAAUGCUCCUUAUGACAAAAGCUUCACUAAACAUAAGAACACAAGUUGGAAUGUGAAAUCUGUGCUCUGAUCAUUCAGAGCGGGGCCAAGCUACAGUGAGGGGUGGGUGACCUGGCUGGGGGCAGCCCCAUGGCUUUUUCUGCUGCCCUCGGUCUCUGCCACCUUGGGAAGGUCACCGCUCCUCUCUGGGCCUGUUUCUUUGGCCAGAAAAAGAAAGAGCUGCCAAAAUUAUCACGCGGGUUCCCCCCAGGCCUGAAAUUCCGGGCUCCUGUGGACAUAGCAGCGCUGCAGCCUCCCUGGUCCUGGAGUCCUGGGGAAGGGGAGGGAAGGAGAAGCGAGCCAAGUGUCAGCUGUAUUUCUCCAGGACAGGGAGUCGUUCAGGGAGUCCCUUGCCGGCACUUUUUUUUUUUCCUUUUGAUGAAAUUAAUUAUGAACACUGCCUGGGGUCAUUGGACUCCGGAGAUACAUGUCAAGAUAAAAUAUUUCAGAAACACUUAUAUUUAAUAAUUUAAUACGGUGGUUCACAUUUGGGUGCAACAAAGGGAAUUAUCGAUAAUUGCAAAUUUUAAAGAGGCAGGUCAAAGCCCAGCAAAGUAUAGGGGAUCAUGGGACAAAAAUCAGGAAGGAUGGCAGAGGAUUUUGUUCAGUAAGACCCAAGGGCCUGAGGUUAGGAUGAGGAGCGGGGUCAUUCAUGUGCUUUGUAAAGAAGUCAACUUCUGAAACCUUCUUAAGGGGCAACGCUUGGUACCUCAGCUGGAAGAAGAAAGAGAGCAAGUUGGUCUGGAGUGUUAUUUCUGGACAGUUCCUUGCUCUCUGUAAGUACACAACCUUCUUCCCCAUUUCUCUCUCUGCCACUGACAUUUAGAAAUUUGCACUCUUCCCCUCCUACCUAACUGAUCCAGGGCUCAGGGGAAUUCCAGGCUUCAGGCUAGUCUGCCCAGUGAUACCACAUUUAUUUACAUGGAAUGUAAAGAGAAGUCCACUGAUUGCUAUUAAUAACUAAACAAAGUUAUCCUGGAGACACUGCAGUUUCUGGCCCCACCCAAGGCAAAAGAACCAAUGAGGACUUUUUAAAAACAUUACUUUUUAUGGGUAUAUAGUAAAGGACUUUUUAAAAAUGAAAAUGAACCCAUUGUUAGCUUUGAUUUUGUGGGUGCCAAAGUCUAAGGUGUUUUGGGUUUGUACUCAGUCUGAACGAGGAUUUUUUUUUGCAUAGUUUCCCCUUUCUAACACUAUUGCAUUAAUAUUUAGCAAUUUGUACUAAGGUAGAAACUGUCAAUCAAGAGUAGUUCAUUUUUGCAUUGUUUCCAGUCUUAGGGAAAAGCAUUUAAUCUUUCACGAUUACUUAUGACAUUAGCUGUAAGUUUUUAUGUAGAUGCUCCUUAAAAUGUCAAUGAAAUUUCCCUCUAUUCCUAGUUUGCAAAAUGUUUUUACCUGGAAUAGAUGUUAGAUUUUGUCAAAUGCUUUUGCUGUAUCUAGUGAAAUAAUCACAUGUCUCUUUGUUAGUUUAUUAAUAUAGUGUACUUCAUUAAUUGAUUUUUGAAUAUUAAAGCCCUAGGAUAAACCUUACGUGGUCAUGAUACAUCACUCAUUCAUUCAUAUAUAUAUAUAUAUACACACACACACACACACACACACAUAGAGAUACACACAUAUAUAUAAUUGCAUUUGAUUUGCUCAAAUUCAUAAAGAAUGUUUGCAUCUAUGUUUAUGAGGAAUAUGCAUCUGUAGUUCUCUUUCCUUGUAACAUUUUUGUCUGGUUUUGAUAUCAAAGUAAUGC
This 2503-nucleotide long non-coding RNA is filed under the name Homo sapiens (human). RNAcentral's name for it is "non-protein coding lnc-GPR26-9:3". The record is from RNAcentral. Lineage: Eukaryota; Metazoa; Chordata; Mammalia; Primates; Hominidae.